This 490-nucleotide ribosomal RNA is filed under the name uncultured bacterium. Its description in RNAcentral is "partial 16S ribosomal RNA". It matches the Rfam family "Bacterial small subunit ribosomal RNA", at positions 30 to 507 of the family's 1533-position model. The record is from RNAcentral.
AUUGAACGCUGGCGGCAUGCUUUACACAUGCAAGUCGGACGGCAGCACAGAGAAGCUUGCUUCUUGGGUGGCGAGUGGCGAACGGGUGAGUAAUAUAUCGGAACGUACCGAGUAAUGGGGUAUAACUAAUCGAAAGAUUAGCUAAUACCGCAUAUUCUCUGAGGAGGAAAGCACGGGACCUUCGGGCCUUGCGUUAUUCAAGCGGCAGAUAUCUGAUUAGCUAGUUGGUGGGGUAAAGGCCUACCAAGGCGACGAUCAGUAGCGGGUCUGAGAGGAUGAUCCGCCACACUGGGACUGAGACACGGCCCAGACUCCUACGGGAGGCAGCAGUUGGGAAUCUUGGACAAUGGGCGCAAGCCUGAUCCAGCCAAGCCGCGUGUCUGAAGAAGGCCUUCGGGUUGUAAAGGACUUUUGGCAGGGAAGAAAAGGCUGUUGCUAAUAUCGACAGCUGAUGACGGUACCUGAAGAAUAAGCACCGGCUAACGACGUG